RNAcentral lists this unclassified non-coding RNA (295 nucleotides) under Hevea brasiliensis (rubber tree). Lineage: Eukaryota; Viridiplantae; Streptophyta; Magnoliopsida; Malpighiales; Euphorbiaceae. The record is from RNAcentral.
GAAAAUUAUUAAAUGUCCUCUUUGGUCUAGCCUGUAGUUAUAGAGGUGAGCUGUGAUAUCACGGGUGGGAAUGGAUUUUGGUUGGUAGCGACAGCAUUGCAUGAGGAGAAGCUGUAUUGCUUCCACAGUGAUUCUCCUAAUGGAAGGCCCAUCGCAGUCGAUUGCUUUACCUUUGGGCCAUGAUACGGUGAGUGACCCACAAGCCCAGCAACUGUUAAUGGGAGUUACAUUUUCAGUAGGCUCUCAACAAUGAGCCAAUGAUGAUUGAAAUUCAUAGAAAAAAGCAAUGUUGUUU